GAUGAACGCUGGCGGCGUGCUUAACACAUGCAAGUCGAACGAUGAAGCCCAGCUUGCUGGGUGGAUUAGUGGCGAACGGGUGAGUAACACGUGAGUAACCUGCCCUUAACUCUGGGAUAAGCCUGGGAAACUGGGUCUAAUACCGGAUAGGAGCGUCCACCGCAUGGUGGGUGUUGGAAAGAUUUAUCGGUUUUGGAUGGGCUCGCGGCCUAUCAGCUUGUUGGUGCGGUAAUGGCUCACCAAGGCGACGACGGGUAGCCGGCCUGAGAGGGUGACCGGCCACACUGGGACUGAGACGCGGCCCAGACUCGUGCGGGGGGCAGCAGUGGGGAAUAUUGCACAAUGGGCGCAAGCCUGAUGCAGCGACGCCGCGUGAGGGAUGACGGCCUUCGGGUUGUAAGCCUCUUUCAGUAGGGAAGAAGCGAAAGUGACGGUACCUGCAGAAGAAGCACCGGCUAACUACGUGC
This 467-nucleotide ribosomal RNA is filed under the name uncultured bacterium. RNAcentral's name for it is "partial 16S ribosomal RNA". It matches the Rfam family "Bacterial small subunit ribosomal RNA", at positions 28 to 508 of the family's 1533-position model. The record is from RNAcentral.